GUUUUAAUAAUUUAACAGUAAAAUAUUGGUCUUGUAAACCAAAAAUAAGUCCAUCUUUUAAAACU
This 65-nucleotide transfer RNA is filed under the name Spiniphilus spinicornis. Its description in RNAcentral is "tRNA-Thr". It matches the Rfam family "tRNA". From Rfam's summary of the family: Transfer RNA (tRNA) molecules are approximately 80 nucleotides in length. Their secondary structure includes four short double-helical elements and three loops (D, anti-codon, and T loops). Lineage: Eukaryota; Metazoa; Arthropoda; Insecta; Coleoptera; Vesperidae. The record is from RNAcentral.